CACGUAGGGUGCGAGCGUUGUCCGGAAUUAUUGGGCGUAAAGAGCUCGUAGGCGGUGUGUCGCGUCGGCCGUGAAAACUUGCAGCUUAACUGUGGGCGUGCGGUCGAUACGGGCAUCACUGGAGUUCGGCAGGGGAGACUGGAAUUCCUGGUGUAGCAGUGAAAUGCGCAGAUAUCAGGAGGAACACCGGUGGCGAAGGCGGGUCUCUGGGCCGAUACUGACGCUGAGGAGCGAAAGCGUGGGGAGCGAACAGG
This 254-nucleotide ribosomal RNA is filed under the name uncultured bacterium. Its description in RNAcentral is "partial 16S ribosomal RNA". It matches the Rfam family "Bacterial small subunit ribosomal RNA", at positions 524 to 776 of the family's 1533-position model. The record is from RNAcentral.